This is a non-coding RNA of Triticum aestivum (bread wheat), 133 nucleotides long. The record is from Rfam. NCBI's taxonomy places the organism in Eukaryota, Viridiplantae, Streptophyta, Magnoliopsida, Poales, Poaceae.
UAGCUACUCCCUCCGUUCUGAAUUACUUGUCUUGGAUUUGUCUAGAUACAUAUGUAUCUAGACUAAUUUGGUGCUAGAUACAUCCGUAUCUAGAUAAAUCUAAGACAAGUAAUUCGGAAGGAGGGAGUAGAUA